Molecule: ribosomal RNA, 499 nt
Filed under: uncultured bacterium
Lineage: Bacteria
Description: partial 16S ribosomal RNA
Rfam family: Bacterial small subunit ribosomal RNA
Source: RNAcentral
GACGAACGCUGGCGGCGUGCUUAACACAUGCAAGUCGAACGGGCCUGUCUUCUUUUUUGGGGGUGGGUUGAGUGGCGAACGGGUGAGUAUCACGUGAGUAACCUGCCCUUCGGUCCUGGAUAACCGCUUGAAAGGGCGGCUAAUACGGGGUGGUCCGGUUGGUCCGCAUGGGCUGGUCGGGAUAGAUUCACUGUUUUUGGUGUUUCGGCGGGGGAUGGGCUCGCGGCCUAUCAGCUUGUUGGUGGGGUGAUGGCCUACCAAGGCGGUGACGGGUAGCCGGCCUGAGAGGGUGGGCGGCCACACUGGGACUGGGAUACGGCCCAGACUCCUGCGGGAGGCAGCAGUGGGGGGUAUUGCACAACGGGCGGAAGCCUGAUGCAGCGACGUCGCGUGAGGGAUGGAGGCCUUCGGGUUGUGAACCUCUGUUUCCGGUGGUGAAGGCCCUGUCCGUGUGGUGGGGUUGACGGUAGCCGGGGAUGAAGCGCCGGCUAACUACGUG